RNAcentral lists this ribosomal RNA (253 nucleotides) under uncultured bacterium. RNAcentral describes it as "partial 16S ribosomal RNA". It matches the Rfam family "Bacterial small subunit ribosomal RNA", at positions 524 to 776 of the family's 1533-position model. The record is from RNAcentral.
UACGUAGGGGGCAAGCGUUGUCCGGAUUCAUUGGGCGUAAAGAGCGUGUAGGCGGCCAGGCAGGUCCGCUGUGAAAACUCGAGGCUCAACCUCGAGAUGUCGGUGGAAACCGUCUGGCUAGAGUCCGGAAGAGGAGAGUGGAACUCCUGGUGUAGCGGUGGAAUGCGCAGAUAUCAGGAAGAACACCAACGGCGAAGGCAGCUCGCUAGGACGGUACUGACGCUGAGACGCGAAAGCGUGGGGAGCGAACAGG